ACAAGCGGAGGAGCAUGUGGUUUAAUUCGAUGAUACGCGAGGAGCCUUACCUGGGCUUGAAAGUUAGUGACAUUCUGUGAAAGCAGAACUUCCGCAAGGACACGAAACUAGGUGCUGCAUGGCUGUCGUCAGCUCGUGCCGUGAGGUGUUGGGUUAAGUCCCGUAACGAGCGCAACCCCUAUCAUUAGUUGCCAUCAGGUCAUGCUGGGGACUCUAAUGAGACUGCCCGCGCAAGCGGUGAGGAAGGUGGGGACGACGUCAAGUCAUCACGGCCCUUACGUCCAGGGCUACACACGUGCUACAAUGGUAGAUACAGCAGGUUGCCACAUGGUAACAUGGAGCUAAUCCCAAAAGUCUAUCUCAGUUCGGAUUGAGGUCUGCAACUCGACCUCAUGAAGCUGGAUUCGCUAGUAAUCGAAAAUCAGCAAUGUUUCGGUGAAUACGUUCCCGGGCCUU
This 456-nucleotide ribosomal RNA is filed under the name uncultured Sphingobacteriales bacterium. RNAcentral describes it as "bacterial SSU rRNA". It matches the Rfam family "Bacterial small subunit ribosomal RNA", at positions 925 to 1382 of the family's 1533-position model. The record is from RNAcentral. Lineage: Bacteria; Pseudomonadati; Bacteroidota; Sphingobacteriia; Sphingobacteriales.